This 307-nucleotide small RNA is filed under the name Dasypus novemcinctus (nine-banded armadillo). Its description in RNAcentral is "7SK RNA (ENSDNOG00000030045.2)". The record is from RNAcentral. Lineage: Eukaryota; Metazoa; Chordata; Mammalia; Cingulata; Dasypodidae.
GAAACUCAGGGUGGGGUCUCUGACCACUAAUCUCUCCCCUCACUGAACCCAGGCUAUGCUCAGCUGAAGUGCCUGCCAGCUUCCGAUGUCCCCUUCCUCCCUCACUGCUACAAGUCCCUCCCUCCAGAAGCUGAGAGCCCAGCAAAGAGGAUGUCUUCCAAGGAGAAGUUGCUCCAGGACUACAAACUCCUGCUAGAAAUUCCAAGAAAUUUCACAAGGUCUAUUGGUAGGACAAUGUUGAGUAAGUCAGAAGCAUUCCAAGUACCAAUUCAUACACGAGGAAGAGAAAAUUUAUUUUUUCUUCUUU